UUUACUACUUUAACUCAAGGAGAAUAUGAAGAAGAAAGCACCACAAAACCAAGAUGAGUAGCAUAUGUACAAUAUGAAGAAGUUACAGCAACAGAGACUGAACUAUAUGAAACAGAAGAACAGGAGACCUCAACCUAU
Long non-coding RNA from Ochotona curzoniae (black-lipped pika), 138 nucleotides. RefSeq lists it as uncharacterized. The record is from RefSeq and is a predicted model, not a curated record. NCBI's taxonomy places the organism in Eukaryota, Metazoa, Chordata, Mammalia, Lagomorpha, Ochotonidae. The transcript has 2 exons.